Molecule: long non-coding RNA, 938 nt
Filed under: Homo sapiens (human)
Lineage: Eukaryota; Metazoa; Chordata; Mammalia; Primates; Hominidae
Description: non-protein coding lnc-PPP6R2-2:1
Source: RNAcentral
CAGGCGUGAGCCACCGUGCCCGGCCAAUAAUUUUUAAAACUACAAAAGUGUCCUAAGACUGCAGAGUAUGGGCACUGCUGCCUGGGAGGGCAUGGCUGCCAGAGUGAAAGUGGUAUUCUAACUGACCAGAGUUCACUCCAGAGACCUCUGAGGGAGCUGGGAUGUUGAGAGGUAAAUUUUCCAUUAGAAAAAAAAUUUUUGUCUUUUUUUGUUUGUUCUGAGACAGAGUCUCACUCUGUCACCCAGCCUGGAGUGCAGUGGCGUGAUCUCCGCUCACUGCAACCUUUGCCUCCCAGGUUCAAGCGAUUCUCUUGCCUCAGCCUCCAGAUAGCUGGGAUUACAGGCGUGCCACAAUGCCUGGCUAAUUUUUUGUAUUUUUAGUAGAGAUGGGGUUUCACCAUGUUGGCUAGGCUGGUGGUCUCAAACUCCUGACCUCAGGUGAUCUGCCUGCCUUGGCUUCCCAAAAUGUUGGGAUACAGGCAUGAGCCACCGUGCCCAGCCUUAUUUUUUUUUUUUUCUUGAGACAGAGUCUUGCCCUGUUGCUCAGGCUGGAGUGCAGUGGCACAAUCUUGGCUCACUGCCAACUCCGCCUCCUGGGUUCACACCAUUCUCCUGACUCAGCCUCCCAAGUAGCUGGGACUACAGGUGCCCACCGCCAUGCCCGGCUAAUGCUUUUUUUUUUUUUUUUUUUUUUUUUUUUAGUAGAGACGGGGUUUCACUGUGUUAGCCAGAAUGGUCUUGAUCUCCUGACCUCGUGAUCAGCCCGCCUCAGCCUCCUAAAGUGCUGGGAUUACAGGUGUGAGCCACCACGCCCGGCUUGUUUUUUGUUUUUUAACAGACAGGGUCAACCUCCAACUCCUGGACUCAAGCAGUUCUCCCACCUCAGCCUCCCAAGUAGCUGAGACUACAGGUUUGUGCCACCAUGCCUGGCUCUUUUU